This 97-nucleotide non-coding RNA is filed under the name bovine gut metagenome. Its description in RNAcentral is "THF riboswitch". It matches the Rfam family "THF (Tetrahydrofolate) riboswitch aptamer". From Rfam's summary of the family: THF riboswitch presents a pseudoknot that joins P1-P2 and the loop of P3 and two THF binding. The record is from RNAcentral.
GCAGAGUAGAUAUCCUUUCGUUAAGUGCUGUCGGUACGGGGAGUUGACCGGCAGACGAUGCCGAUUUCGGCACGGUUAGGAUCAUCGCACCCGCUGC